UCGCCCGGGCAGCACGCGUGAGGCACGCCAUUUUCUGGCGGCGCUUGCAAACUUUGUUUCCAAUUCGCUUCCUUGGGAUUGUGUGCGUUGCGUGAAACCGGUGAUGCCGCUGAGCAGCAAAGACAUGUGGGGUGUGCUGCGUGGCAGCUGCAACGAAACUCCUUGUGAUUGUCGGCGUUACGUCGUUUUUUGUUCACCGGACGACUCCACAGCAAACGCCAUUCGUUGCGACUACUGCAACCACUGCCCAGCGGCUCAUGGCCGAAUAACUGACUUGGGAAUUUCAUGACUGGCUCCUUCACAAUAUGCCAGAAUUCUCUGACAGCGUUCAGCCUGUCCUGCAAGGAAAAGCAGUUUCAGAAAGGCUGCAAAAAAAACUUUCCCGGCAGCUACGCGCAGAAUUGACCUUGUUUCUGGAUGAGAAUAAUCUCAUUACCACUGGGAACAAAGGGGAGCGUCGCUCAAUGUACAAAGUCCUUGGUGAAGCACUCGCCGCGAAAUACCCAAUGAUGUUGUGGGAUGAGCCUGAAGAGCACCUUUUGGCUACGAGGACCCAUGUUUAUGUAAGUACUCUGAAAAGCGCUGUGUAUAACAAGCUGAUGCUCCUUUCAAAUGAGAGUAUACUUUUUAUUCCAAUCGUUGUAGGCAGUUCUGUUCGCUUCACUGGUUCA
This is a long non-coding RNA of Rhipicephalus sanguineus (brown dog tick), 671 nucleotides long. RefSeq lists it as uncharacterized. The record is from RefSeq and is a predicted model, not a curated record. NCBI's taxonomy places the organism in Eukaryota, Metazoa, Arthropoda, Arachnida, Ixodida, Ixodidae. The transcript is spliced from 3 exons.